UACGAAGGGGGCUAGCGUUGCUCGGAAUUACUGGGCGUAAAGCGUGUGUAGGCGGUCCACUAAGUCGGGUGUGAAAGCCCUGGGCUCAACCCAGGAAGUGCACUCGAAACUGGCGGGCUAGAGUAUCGGAGAGGUUGGUGGAAUUCUCGGUGUAGAGGUGAAAUUCGUAGAUAUCGAGAGGAACACCGGUGGCGAAGGCGGCCAACUGGACGAAUACUGACGCUGAGACACGAAAGCGUGGGGAGCAAACAGG
Molecule: ribosomal RNA, 253 nt
Filed under: uncultured bacterium
Lineage: Bacteria
Description: partial 16S ribosomal RNA
Rfam family: Bacterial small subunit ribosomal RNA
Source: RNAcentral